GCUAGCUACAGGCUUAACACAUGCAAGUCGAGGGGCAGCAUGGUCUUAGCUUGCUAAGGCCGAUGGCGACCGGCGCACGGGUGAGUAACACGUAUCCAACCUGCCGUCUACUCUUGGACAGCCUUCUGAAAGGAAGGUUAAUACAAGAUGGCAUCAUGAGUCCGCAUGUUCACAUGAUUAAAGGUAUUCCGGUAGACGAUGGGGAUGCGUUCCAUUAGAUAGUAGGCGGGGUAACGGCCCACCUAGUCUUCGAUGGAUAGGGGUUCUGAGAGGAAGGUCCCCCACAUUGGAACUGAGACACGGUCCAAACUCCUACGGGAGGCAGCAGUGAGGAAUAUUGGUCAAUGGGCGAGAGCCUGAACCAGCCAAGUAGCGUGAAGGAUGACUGCCCUAUGGGUUGUAAACUUCUUUUAUAAAGGAAUAAAGUCGGGUAUGGAUACCCGUUUGCAUGUACUUUAUGAAUAAGGAUCGGCUAACUCCGUGCCAGCAGCCGCGGUAAUACGGAGGAUCCGAGCGUUAUCCGGAUUUAUUGGGUUUAAAGGGAGCGUAGAUGGAUGUUUAAGUCAGUUGUGAAAGUUUGCGGCUCAACCGUAAAAUUGCAGUUGAUACUGGAUAUCUUGAGUGCAGUUGAGGCAGGCGGAAUUCGUGGUGUAGCGGUGAAAUGCUUAGAUAUCACGAAGAACUCCGAUUGCGAAGGCAGCCUGCUAAGCUGCAACUGACAUUGAGGCUCGAAAGUGUGGGUAUCAAACAGGAUUAGAUACCCUGGUAGUCCACACGGUAAACGAUGAAUACUCGCUGUUUGCGAUAUACUGCAAGCGGCCAAGCGAAAGCGUUAAGUAUUCCACCUGGGGAGUACGCCGGCAACGGUGAAACUCAAAGGAAUUGACGGGGGCCCGCACAAGCGGAGGAACAUGUGGUUUAAUUCGAUGAUACGCGAGGAACCUUACCCGGGCUUAAAUUGCAGAUGAAUUACGGUGAAAGCCGUAAGCCGCAAGGCAUCUGUGAAGGUGCUGCAUGGUUGUCGUCAGCUCGUGCCGUGAGGUGUCGGCUUAAGUGCCAUAACGAGCGCAACCCUUGUUGUCAGUUACUAACAGGUCAUGCUGAGGACUCUGACAAGACUGCCAUCGUAAGAUGUGAGGAAGGUGGGGAUGACGUCAAAUCAGCACGGCCCUUACGUCCGGGGCUACACACGUGUUACAAUGGGGGGUACAGAGGGCCGCUACUACGCGAGUGGAUGCCAAUCCCCAAAACCUCUCUCAGUUCGGACUGGAGUCUGCAACCCGACUCCACGAAGCUGGAUUCGCUAGUAAUCGCGCAUCAGCCACGGCGCGGUGAAUACGUUCCCGGGCCUUGUACACACCGCCCGUCAAGCCAUGGGAGCCGGGGGUACCUGAAGUGCGUAACCGCGAGGAGCGCCCUAGGGUAAAACUGGUGACUGGGGCUAAAU
Molecule: ribosomal RNA, 1447 nt
Filed under: uncultured organism
Description: SSU rRNA
Rfam family: Bacterial small subunit ribosomal RNA
Source: RNAcentral